This 606-nucleotide ribosomal RNA is filed under the name uncultured Ascomycota. RNAcentral's name for it is "eukaryotic LSU rRNA". The stretch from base 220 to 373 matches the Rfam family "5.8S ribosomal RNA". Lineage: Eukaryota; Fungi; Ascomycota. The record is from RNAcentral.
CUUGGUCAUUUAGAGGAAGUAAAAGUCGUAACAAGGUCUCCGUUGGUGAACCAGCGGAGGGAUCAUUACCGAGUUAUACAACUCAUCAACCCUGUGAACAUACCUAUAACGUUGCCUCGGCGGGAACAGACGGCCCCGUAACACGGGCCGCCCCCGCCAGAGGACCCCCUAACUCUGUUUCUAUAAUGUUUCUUCUGAGUAAACAAGCAAAUAAAUUAAAACUUUCAACAACGGAUCUCUUGGCUCUGGCAUCGAUGAAGAACGCAGCGAAAUGCGAUAAGUAAUGUGAAUUGCAGAAUUCAGUGAAUCAUCGAAUCUUUGAACGCACAUUGCGCCCGCCAGUAUUCUGGCGGGCAUGCCUGUUCGAGCGUCAUUACAACCCUCAGGCCCCCGGGCCUGGCGUUGGGGAUCGGCGGAAGCCCCCUGCGGGCACAACGCCGUCCCCCAAAUACAGUGGCGGUCCCGCCGCAGCUUCCAUUGCGUAGUAGCUAACACCUCGCAACUGGAGAGCGGCACGGCCACGCCGUAAAACACCCAACUUCUGAAUGUUGACCUCGAAUCAGGUAGGAAUACCCGCUGAACUUAAGCAUAUCAAUAAGCGGAGGA